Molecule: ribosomal RNA, 1481 nt
Filed under: Staphylococcus aureus
Lineage: Bacteria; Bacillati; Bacillota; Bacilli; Caryophanales; Staphylococcaceae
Description: bacterial SSU rRNA
Rfam family: Bacterial small subunit ribosomal RNA
Source: RNAcentral
UUUAUGGAGAGUUUGAUCCUGGCUCAGGAUGAACGCUGGCGGCGUGCCUAAUACAUGCAAGUCGAGCGAACGGACGAGAAGCUUGCUUCUCUGAUGUUAGCGGCGGACGGGUGAGUAACACGUGGAUAACCUACCUAUAAGACUGGGAUAACUUCGGGAAACCGGAGCUAAUACCGGAUAAUAUUUUGAACCGCAUGGUUCAAAAGUGAAAGACGGUCUUGCUGUCACUUAUAGAUGGAUCCGCGCUGCAUUAGCUAGUUGGUAAGGUAACGGCUUACCAAGGCAACGAUGCAUAGCCGACCUGAGAGGGUGAUCGGCCACACUGGAACUGAGACACGGUCCAGACUCCUACGGGAGGCAGCAGUAGGGAAUCUUCCGCAAUGGGCGAAAGCCUGACGGAGCAACGCCGCGUGAGUGAUGAAGGUCUUCGGAUCGUAAAACUCUGUUAUUAGGGAAGAACAUAUGUGUAAGUAACUGUGCACAUCUUGACGGUACCUAAUCAGAAAGCCACGGCUAACUACGUGCCAGCAGCCGCGGUAAUACGUAGGUGGCAAGCGUUAUCCGGAAUUAUUGGGCGUAAAGCGCGCGUAGGCGGUUUUUUAAGUCUGAUGUGAAAGCCCACGGCUCAACCGUGGAGGGUCAUUGGAAACUGGAAAACUUGAGUGCAGAAGAGGAAAGUGGAAUUCCAUGUGUAGCGGUGAAAUGCGCAGAGAUAUGGAGGAACACCAGUGGCGAAGGCGACUUUCUGGUCUGUAACUGACGCUGAUGUGCGAAAGCGUGGGGAUCAAACAGGAUUAGAUACCCUGGUAGUCCACGCCGUAAACGAUGAGUGCUAAGUGUUAGGGGGUUUCCGCCCCUUAGUGCUGCAGCUAACGCAUUAAGCACUCCGCCUGGGGAGUACGACCGCAAGGUUGAAACUCAAAGGAAUUGACGGGGACCCGCACAAGCGGUGGAGCAUGUGGUUUAAUUCGAAGCAACGCGAAGAACCUUACCAAAUCUUGACAUCCUUUGACAACUCUAGAGAUAGAGCUUUCCCCUUCGGGGGACAAAGUGACAGGUGGUGCAUGGUUGUCGUCAGCUCGUGUCGUGAGAUGUUGGGUUAAGUCCCGCAACGAGCGCAACCCUUAAGCUUAGUUGCCAUCAUUAAGUUGGGCACUCUAAGUUGACUGCCGGUGACAAACCGGAGGAAGGUGGGGAUGACGUCAAAUCAUCAUGCCCCUUAUGAUUUGGGCUACACACGUGCUACAAUGGACAAUACAAAGGGCAGCGAAACCGCGAGGUCAAGCAAAUCCCAUAAAGUUGUUCUCAGUUCGGAUUGUAGUCUGCAACUCGACUACAUGAAGCUGGAAUCGCUAGUAAUCGUAGAUCAGCAUGCUACGGUGAAUACGUUCCCGGGUCUUGUACACACCGCCCGUCACACCACGAGAGUUUGUAACACCCGAAGCCGGUGGAGUAACCUUUUAGGAGCUAGCCGUCGAAGG